GAUGAACGCUGGCGGCGUGCCUAAUACAUGCAAGUCGAGCGAACAGACGAGGAGCUUGCUCCUCUGACGUUAGCGGCGGACGGGUGAGUAACACGUGGAUAACCUACCUAUAAGACUGGGAUAACUUCGGGAAACCGGAGCUAAUACCGGAUAAUAUAUUGAACCGCAUGGUUCAAUAGUGAAAGACGGUUUUGCUGUCACUUAUAGAUGGAUCCGCGCCGCAUUAGCUAGUUGGUAAGGUAACAGCUUACCAAGGCAACGAUGCGUAGCCGACCUGAGAGGGUGAUCGGCCACACUGGAACUGAGACACGGUCCAGACUCCUACGGGAGGCAGCAGUAGGGAAUCUUCCGCAAUGGGCGAAAGCCUGACGGAGCAACGCCGCGUGAGUGAUGAAGGUCUUCGGAUCGUAAAACUCUGUUAUUAGGGAAGAACAAAUGUGUAAGUAACUAUGCACGUCUUGACGGUACCUAAUCAGAAAGCCACGGCUAGCUACGUG
This 497-nucleotide ribosomal RNA is filed under the name uncultured bacterium. RNAcentral's name for it is "partial 16S ribosomal RNA". It matches the Rfam family "Bacterial small subunit ribosomal RNA", at positions 28 to 507 of the family's 1533-position model. The record is from RNAcentral.